GAUGAACGCUGGCGGCGUGCUUAACACAUGCAAGUCGAACGAAGCAUUUAGGACAGAUUACUUCGGUUUGAAGUUCUUUAUGACUGAGUGGCGGACGGGUGAGUAACGCGUGGGUAACCUGCCUUGUACUGGGGGAUAGCAGCUGGAAACGGCUGGUAAUACCGCAUAAGCGCACAAUGUCGCAUGACAUGGUGUGAAAAACUCCGGUGGUAUAAGAUGGACCCGCGUCUGAUUAGCUAGUUGGUGAGAUAACAGCCCACCAAGGCGACGAUCAGUAGCCGACCUGAGAGGGUGACCGGCCACAUUGGGACUGAGACACGGCCCAGACUCCUACGGGAGGCAGCAGUGGGGAAUAUUGCACAAUGGAGGAAACUCUGAUGCAGCGACGCCGCGUGAGUGAAGAAGUAAUUCGUUAUGUAAAGCUCUAUCAGCAGGGAAGAUAGUGACGGUACCUGACUAAGAAGCUCCGGCUAAAUACGUG
RNAcentral lists this ribosomal RNA (481 nucleotides) under uncultured bacterium. Its description in RNAcentral is "partial 16S ribosomal RNA". It matches the Rfam family "Bacterial small subunit ribosomal RNA", at positions 28 to 507 of the family's 1533-position model. The record is from RNAcentral.